CCGAGGUACUGUUUCCUUCAAUUUCCAACCUGGCCUUUUUGGCUUUCUUUUUACGUUCGGCCUUCUUCCUUUUACGCUCUCCUUCUCCUAGAACUUUCAGAAUCAUUUUGGGUGUUGUUUCCAGAAUUAAGGUCUCCAGAAGUAUCCGAUUCCCCCUGAGAGGAUUCAACAUCAGGGGGAACAUCUUCCUUGUCGGAACUUUCAUCAUCAGAGGCUCGAGACAUCAAGGCAGAGGAAUCUCAUAAAUCAGCAUUCCUAUCUUGUCCAUAUAAAGGGUGGAAACAUUACUUCCCAUCUGAAGGUAUCAACAACCUUAGAGAAUUGACACAUACAUGUAACAACAACCGAGAAACAAUUAAUCCAUUGUGAAAUUGCAAACAAUCCAAUUGAAAGCAAAUUCAGGAAGCAAGUUUAGAAAUCCCAAGUCAAGUGGAGAAACAAGACAAAGAUUCAACAUUAAAUGUAGAUAAACUUGAUGCUGCCAUUAAAGCAUGUGGAGAUCAAGUGAUUUAUUUGAAAGUAAAGAAAGCUGACAAGGUACGAUACAUGGAAAAAGAGAGAAGAAUUUCUCCUCCUUUUCUCUUUCCCAUAGCCAUUUACUCGUCGUCAUCCUCGUCGAGGCUGCAAUCCGAAAAAGCGCUCGACAGGUCGCUGUCCUCGUCCGAGUUUGCCUCCAAGUUUGCCUCCAAAGCCAACUUGGCCUUUUUGGCUUCCUUGAUUCUCCAGAAACAUCACUGGUGUCGUUUCCAGACUCAACAUCAGGGUCUCCACAAGAAUACAGGAUUCCACAACGGGGG
Molecule: long non-coding RNA, 797 nt
Filed under: Daphnia pulex (common water flea)
Lineage: Eukaryota; Metazoa; Arthropoda; Branchiopoda; Diplostraca; Daphniidae
Description: uncharacterized LOC124207524, transcript variant X2
Source: RNAcentral